RNAcentral lists this ribosomal RNA (530 nucleotides) under Dyadobacter chenhuakuii. RNAcentral's name for it is "partial 23S ribosomal RNA". It matches the Rfam family "Bacterial large subunit ribosomal RNA", at positions 98 to 652 of the family's 2925-position model. Lineage: Bacteria; Pseudomonadati; Bacteroidota; Cytophagia; Cytophagales; Spirosomataceae. The record is from RNAcentral.
AUUGAUCCGUAGAUAUCCGAAUGGGGCAACCCAGUACCAUGAAGUGGUAUUACCCUACGGGGGGCAAACGCGGGGAACUGAAACAUCUAAGUACCCGCAGGAGAAGAAAACAAUAGUGAUUCCGCAAGUAGUGGCGAGCGAACGCGGACAAGCCCAAACCAGCCUGGUUACGGCCAGACUGGGGUUGUAGGACUCACCUAGUGGUUAUCAAUUGAACUGGAAUGACGUGGGAAAGUCAAUCGUAGAGGGUGAGAAUCCCGUACAGGUAAGAGCGAUAAUUGAGUGAGUAUCCUGAGUAAGUGGGGACCGGAGAAAUCCCCUCUGAAUCCGGCGGCACCAUCCGCCAAGGCUAAAUACUCCUGAGAGACCGAUAGUGAACUAGUACCGUGAGGGAAAGGUGAAAAGUACCGCGAGCAGCGGGGUGAAAUAGAACUUGAAACCAUGCGCUUACAAGCGGACGGAGCCUACGGGUGACGUCGUGCCUUUUGCAUAAUGAGCCUACGAGUUACGGUUACUGGCAAGGUUAAUGU